RNAcentral lists this ribosomal RNA (442 nucleotides) under uncultured bacterium. Its description in RNAcentral is "partial 16S ribosomal RNA". It matches the Rfam family "Bacterial small subunit ribosomal RNA", at positions 338 to 795 of the family's 1533-position model. The record is from RNAcentral.
CCUACGGGAGGCAGCAGUAGGGAAUCUUUCACAAUGGGCGAAAGCCUGAUGGAGCAACGCCGCGUGAAGGAUGAAGGCCUUCGGGUUGUAAACUGCUUUUAUAAGCGAGAAAAAUGCUGGUAACUUAUGACUAAGGAUCGGCUAACUACGUGCCAGCAGCCGCGGUCCUACGUAGGAUCCGAGCAUUAUCCGGAGUGACUGGGUGUAAAGAGUUGCGUAGGUGGCAUAAUCAGUAGCUAGGGAAAUCUGGUGGCUCAACCAUUCAGACUAUUAGCUAAACUGUUAAGCUCGAGACCGUUAGGGGUAACUGGAAUUUCUGGUGUAGGAGUGAAAUCCGUAGAUAUUAGACGGAACACCAAUUGCGUAGGCAGGUUACUGGGACGGUUCUGACACUAAGGCACGAAAGCGUAGGGAGCAAACGGGAUUAGAUACCCGGGUAGUC